GAGUUUGAUCCUGGCUCAGAACGAACGCUGGCGGCGUGCCUAACACAUGCAAGUCGAACGUGAUCCAGAGCUUGCUCUGGUGAAAGUGGCGCACGGGUGAGUAACGCGUGGAUAACCUACCCUGGUAUCCGGGAUAACAUUCCGAAAGGGGUGCUAAUACCGGAUAAGCCCACGGGCUCUUUGGAGCUUGCGGGAAAAGGUGGCCUCUAUUUAUAAGCUACUGUAUCAGGAUGGGUCCSCGUACCAUUAGCUAGUUGGCGGUGUAACGGACCACCAAGGCGACGAUGGUUAGCUGGUCUGAGAGGAUGAUCAGCCACACUGGAACUGAGACACGGUCCAGACUCCUGCGGGAGGCAGCAGUGGGGAAUUUUGCGCAAUGGGGGAAACCCUGACGCAGCAACGCCGCGUGAGUGAUGAAGGCCUUUGGGUCGUAAAGCUCUGUCAGAGGGGAAGAAAUGAUAUAGUGCUAAUACCACUUUAUCUUGACGGUACCCUCAAAGGAAGCACCGGCUAACUCCGUGCCAGCAGCCGCGGUAAUAC
This 540-nucleotide ribosomal RNA is filed under the name uncultured Geobacteraceae bacterium. RNAcentral's name for it is "bacterial SSU rRNA". It matches the Rfam family "Bacterial small subunit ribosomal RNA", at positions 9 to 526 of the family's 1533-position model. The record is from RNAcentral. Lineage: Bacteria; Pseudomonadati; Thermodesulfobacteriota; Desulfuromonadia; Geobacterales; Geobacteraceae.